UAGAUGGAAGUUCGCUGGAUUGAACACUUAGCUGUUAAUUAAGUUUUUGCAGGAUCGAGGCCUGUCUAUCUAG
Molecule: transfer RNA, 73 nt
Filed under: Mustelus griseus
Lineage: Eukaryota; Metazoa; Chordata; Chondrichthyes; Carcharhiniformes; Triakidae
Description: tRNA-Asn
Source: RNAcentral